RNAcentral lists this ribosomal RNA (684 nucleotides) under Triticum aestivum (bread wheat). RNAcentral's name for it is "partial small subunit ribosomal RNA". Lineage: Eukaryota; Viridiplantae; Streptophyta; Magnoliopsida; Poales; Poaceae. The record is from RNAcentral.
UUGCAGGGAAAAGCUGGGGUGGAGAACACAAGGUCUUGUCGUUGCGAGUGCCCUGCUCUAAUAAGGCUGCUAUGAGCGGAGGACAAUGGGUGGUACAUAGCAGAGCAUAGAGACAAUCACAACCACUCGUUGUGGCCUAAUUUCGGUGAGACAGUACACUGGGCCUCAAACAAGCACAUAGAUGUGUACACUAGGGAUAUAGUGAAGCAGUUAAGGCAGAACAAUGUCAACUUAGCAAAGGUGUACGGCAUCACCGGAGGCUACUUUGGAUCAAUGGAAAAUGUUCCGUUCAUGAAGAGGUCGUUGCGUAACCUGUGUGGGAAGAUAAAUAGAGACAAUGCAGAAGAUGAUGUGAAAAAAACAAUGGAUGUGUUCGCAGAGAUUGGGGCUAAAGAUCCACACUUCAUGUAUAGGGUCCAGUCUGACAAUGAGGGCAGGAUUAAGAAUCUGAUGUGGGCUAGUGGGAGUAGCAGGCUGCAAUAUUCAUUUUUUGGUGAUGUUAUAACAUUUGACAUGACUUACCGGACUAAUCUGUACGACAUGCCUUUCGGCCUUUUUGUAGGGGUAAACAAUCAUUUUCAGAGUGUGAUCCUGGCAGGUGUGCUCGUGCGAGAUGAAACGGAAGAUAGUUUUGAGUGGGUUUUCUCAGAAUUCCUUAGAAUGAUGGGCGGGUCUCCACGGUGA